GUCAGUUACAGAUUGAACUCCUGUU
This 25-nucleotide non-coding RNA is filed under the name Cricetulus griseus (Chinese hamster). Lineage: Eukaryota; Metazoa; Chordata; Mammalia; Rodentia; Cricetidae. The record is from RNAcentral.